GUUGUAUAGUCAAGUAAUUAAGUGCAUGUGGUGGAUGCCUUGGCAGUCAGAGGCGAUGAAAGACGUGAUAGCCUGCGAAAAGCUCCGGGGAGGCGGCAAAUAUCCUUUGAUCCGGAGAUGUCUGAAUGGGGGAACCCACCUACUUUAAGGUAGGUAUUGCAACAUGAAUACAUAGUGUUGCAAGGCGAACGAGGGGAAGUGAAACAUCUCAGUACCCUUAGGAAAAGAAAUCAAUUGAGAUUCCCUCAGUAGCGGCGAGCGAACGGGGAUCAGCCCAUUAAGUUAUGUGUGUUUUAGUGGAACGCUCUGGGAAGUGCGAACGUAGAGGGUGAUAUUCCCGUACACGAAAGGGCACACAUAAUGAUGACGAGUAGGGCGAGGCACGUGAAACCUUGUCUGAAUAUGGGGGGACCAUCCUCCAAGGCUAAAUACUCCUGACUGACCGAUAGUGAACCAGUACCGUGAGGGAAAGGCGAAAAGAACCCCUGUGAGGGGAGUGAAAUAGAUCCUGAAACCGCAUGCAUACAAGCAGUGGGAGCACCUUCGUGGUGUGACUGCGUACCUUUUGUAUAAUGGGUCAGCGACUUAUAUUCAGUAGCAAGGUUAACCGUAUAGGGGAGCCGUAGAGAAAUCGAGUCUUAAUAGGGCGUUUAGUUGCUGGGUAUAGACCCGAAACCAGGCGAUCUAUCCAUGAGCAGGUUGAAGGUUGGGUAACACUAACUGGAGGACCGAACCCACUGUCGUUGAAAAGCCAGGGGAUGACUUGUGGAUAGGGGUGAAAGGCUAAUCAAGCCUGGUGAUAGCUGGUUCUCCCCGAAAGCUAUUUAGGUAGCGCCUCGGACGAAUACCAUAGGGGGUAGAGCACUGUUUCGGCUAGGGGGUCAUCCCGACUUACCAAACCGAUGCAAACUCCGAAUACCUAUGAGUACUAUCCGGGAGACAGACUGCGGGUGCUAACGUCCGUAGUCAAGAGGAAAACAAUCCAGACCGCCAGCUAAGGCCCCAAAAUCAUAGUUAAGUGGGAAACGAUGUGGGAAGGCAUAGACAGCUAGGAGGUUGGCUUAGAAGCAGCCACCCUUUAAAGAAAGCGUAAUAGCUCACUAGUCGAGUCGGCCUGCGCGGAAGAUGUAACGGGGCUAAAACUAUGUGCCGAAGCUGCGGAUNNNNNNNNNNNNUUGACAUUAGUCAAGUGGUAGGGGAGCGUUCUGUAAGCCGAUGAAGGUGUAUUGAGAAGUAUGCUGGAGGUAUCAGAAGUGCGAAUGCUGACGUGAGUAACGACAAAACGGGUGAAAAACCCGUUCGCCGAAAGACCAAGGGUUCCAGUCCAACGUUAA
RNAcentral lists this ribosomal RNA (1334 nucleotides) under Acinetobacter baumannii. RNAcentral describes it as "bacterial LSU rRNA". It matches the Rfam family "Bacterial large subunit ribosomal RNA", at positions 1 to 1368 of the family's 2925-position model. Lineage: Bacteria; Pseudomonadati; Pseudomonadota; Gammaproteobacteria; Moraxellales; Moraxellaceae. The record is from RNAcentral.